Non-coding RNA from Pelobates cultripes (western spadefoot toad), 218 nucleotides. The record is from the annotation of a GenBank genome assembly. NCBI's taxonomy places the organism in Eukaryota, Metazoa, Chordata, Amphibia, Anura, Pelobatidae.
GCCUACCGCCAUCAGACUCUCCCCUAGUCUUCAAUUGUUUAAGAAGUGCCUUAAAACCCAUCUCUUUAGGAAAGCUUAUGGCCUCCCAGAGUAACCUCUACCUCACAUACCUGUCUCUUGCUCUCUUCUAAAGGGCAUCACUCUACUCUCUCCUCCAGCUCUGCUUCACUCCCACCUUAUUUGAUUGCUAUUUCCUGUCCAAAUGUGUUUUAUACCCC